This 2423-nucleotide long non-coding RNA is filed under the name Vigna radiata. Its description in RNAcentral is "long non-coding RNA (VRAD_LNC011437)". Lineage: Eukaryota; Viridiplantae; Streptophyta; Magnoliopsida; Fabales; Fabaceae. The record is from RNAcentral.
AAAAGGGGUGUAAAAAUGGCGUAGGAAGAGUUUACAAAGUGUAUAUAAAGGGUGUAUAAAGGGUGUACAAAGGGUAUUUAAAAGGUGUAUAAAGGGUGUACCAAAAGGUGUAUAAAGGGUGAAUAAAGGGUGUAAAAAUGGUAUAUAAAGGGAUUAGAAAAGAUGUAGAAAAUGUGUAGAAAAAAUGAUGGAAGGGUUUAGUGAGGUUGCAAGAAGAUGUAGAAUGAUGUAUAAAUGGUGUACAAAGCGUGUAUAAAGUGAGUAAAAUGAGUUUAGAAAGGGUUUAUUAAAGUUGUACAAGGGUGUAUAAAGGGUGUACAAAGGGUGUAUAAAGGGUGUACAAAGGGUUUAUAAAGUGGGUUGAAAGGGUUUAGAUACGAUGUAAGAAGAUGAAGAAAUAUGUAGAAAGAGUGUAAAAGUGUGUAUAAAGUGAGUACGAAGAAUUUAUAAAGCGUUUAUUAAAGUUGUACAAGGGGUUUAGAAAGGGUGUGCAAAGGCUGUAUAAAAGGUGUACAAAGGGUGUACAAUUAUUCCACCUCUUUUAAAAAAAUACGUAGAAAGAUUGCAGAAAGGAGUAAAAAGAGUAUAGAAAAGGGGUAGAAAGACGUGUAAAAAUGGUGGAGGAAGGGUGUAAAAAAUGUGUAUAAAGGGUGUACAAAUGGUGGAUAUAGGGUACACAAAGGGUGUACAAAGUAUGUACACCCAUUCUACAUAUUUUUAAAAAAUUUGUAGGAAGGGUGCAGAAGGGUGCACAAUUGAUAUAUAAAGGGGUUGGAAGUGAUGUAAAAGGGUGUAGAAAUAUGGUUGAAAUGGUUUAGUAAGGGUGUAAGAAGAUGAAAAAAUAUGUAGAAUGGGUGUACAAAAUGUGUAUAAAGUGAGUACGAGGGAUUUAUAAUGGGUUUAUUAAAGUUGUAAAAGGGGUGUAUAAAGGGUGUAGAAAGUAUGUAACAAGGGUGUAUAAAGGGUGUCUAAAGGGAAUACCAAAUGGUGCAGAAAGGGUGUACAAAAGGUGUUUAAAGGGUGUAUAAAGGGUGUACCAAAAGGUGUCUAAAGGGUGAAUAAAGGGUGUACAAAGAGUGUACACUCGUUCUACAUCUUUAUAAAAAAUAUGUAGAAAUGCUGUACAAAAGGUGUUUAAAGGGUGUACAGAGGGUGUAUAAAGGUUGUACAAAGGGUGUACACCCAUUCUACCUCUUUUUAAAAAAUAUGUAGAAAUGCUGCAGAAAGGAGUAAAAAGGGUAUAGAAAGGGAGUAGAAAAGGGUGUAAAAAUAGUGUAGGAAAGUUGUACAAAAUGUGUAUAAUUGAUGUAUAAAGGGCGGAUAAAGGGUGUACAAAAGGUGUUUAAAGGGUGUCUAAAGGGUUUACCAAAAGGUAUAUAAAGGGUAAAUAAAGGGUGUACAAAGAGUGUACACUCGUUCUACAUCUUUAUAAAAGAAUUGUAGAAAUUGUGCACAAAUGGUAUAUAAAGGGCUUGGAAGUAAUGUAGGAAGUGUGUAGAAAUAUCGUUGAAAGAGGUUAGUAAGAGUGUAAGAAGAUGAAGAAAGAUGUAGAAUUGGUGUACAAAGUGUGUAUAAAGUGAAUAUGAAGGAUUUAUAAAGGGUUUAAUAAAGGUUUACAAGGCGUGUAUAAAGGGUGUAGAAAGAGCGCACAAAGGUUGUAUAAAAGGUGUACAAAGUGUGUACACCCAUUCUAUCUCUUUUUAAAAAAUAUGUACAAAGGCUACAAAAAUGAGUAAAAAGAGUAUAGAAAGGGGUGUAAAAAUGGUGUAGGAAGGGUGUACAAAUGAUGGAUAAAGGGUCUAUAAAUGGUGGAUAAAGGGUCUACAAAGGGUGUUUAAAGGAUGUAUAAAGGGUGUACUAAAAUGUGUAUAAAGGAUGAAUAAAAGGUGUACAAAGUGUGUACACCUAUUCUACAUAUUUUUAAAAAAUUUGUAAAAAGGGUGCACAAAUAGCAUAUAAAGGGGUUGGAAGUGAUGUAGAAAGGGUGUAGAAAUACGGUUGAAAGGGUUUAGUAAAGGUGUAAGAAGAUGAAGAAAUAUGUAGAAAGGGUGUAUAAAUUGUGUAUAAAGUAAGUACAAAGGGUUUAUAAAUGUUGUUCAAGGGGUGUAUAAAUGGUAUAUAAUGGGUAUAUCAAAAGGUGCAUAAAGGGUGUACAAAAGGUUGUUAAAAGGUGUAUAAAGGGGGUACCAAAAGGUGUCUAAAGGGUAAAUAAAGGGUGUAUAAAUAAUGUACACUCGUUCUACAUCUUUUUAAAGAAUUUGUAGAAAGGGUUUAGUAACAUUUAGAAAGGGUGUAUAAAGUGAGUACUAAGGGUUUAUAAAGGAAUUAUAAAUGUUUUACAAGGGGUGUAUAAAGGGUGUACAAAGGGUGUAUAAAGGGUGUACAAAGGGUGUACACCCAUUCUACCUCUUUUUAAAAAAUAU